UCACUAUGAGUAGUUUAACCA
This 21-nucleotide non-coding RNA is filed under the name Caenorhabditis elegans. Lineage: Eukaryota; Metazoa; Nematoda; Chromadorea; Rhabditida; Rhabditidae. The record is from RNAcentral.